GAUGAAGAACGUAGCGAAACGCGAUAGGUAAUGUGAAUUGCAGAAUUCCGUGAAUCUUCGAAUCUUUGAACGCACAUUGCGCCCCCUGGUAUUCCGGGGGGCAUGCCUGUCCGAGCGUCAUUACAACCCUCAAGCUCAGCUUGGUGUUGGGCCCCGCCGCCCCGGCGGGCCCUAAAGUCAGUGGCGGUGCCGUCCGGCUCCGAGCGUAGUAAUUCUUCUCGCUCUGGAGGUCCGGUCGUGUGCUCGCCAGCAACCCCCAAUUUUUUUCAGGUUGACCUCGGAUCAGGUAGGGAUACCCGCUGAACUUAAGCAUAUCAAUAAGCGGAGGA
RNAcentral lists this unclassified non-coding RNA (329 nucleotides) under soil metagenome. Its description in RNAcentral is "partial contains 5.8S ribosomal RNA, internal transcribed spacer 2, and large subunit ribosomal RNA". The stretch from base 1 to 120 matches the Rfam family "5.8S ribosomal RNA", at positions 35 to 154 of the family's 154-position model. The record is from RNAcentral.